GAAAUGCGAUAAGUAGUGUGAAUUGCAGAAUUCAGUGAAUCAUCGAAUCUUUGAACGCACAUUGCGCCCCUUGGUAUUCCAUGGGGCAUGCCUGUUCGAGCGUCAUUUGUACCCUCAAGCUCUGCUUGGUGUUGGGUGUUUGUCCCCGUCUCCGCGCGUGGACUCGCCCCAAAGUGAUUGGCAGCCGGCGUACUGGUCCCGGAGCGCAGCACAUGUCGCGCAAACGAGUGCCUUGGUACGGCGGCGUCCAUAAGCCCCUCACUCACGCUCUUGACCUCGGAUCAGGUAGGGAUACCCGCUGAACUUGAGC
RNAcentral lists this unclassified non-coding RNA (310 nucleotides) under plant metagenome. Its description in RNAcentral is "partial contains 5.8S ribosomal RNA, internal transcribed spacer 2, and large subunit ribosomal RNA". The stretch from base 1 to 105 matches the Rfam family "5.8S ribosomal RNA", at positions 50 to 154 of the family's 154-position model. The record is from RNAcentral.